RNAcentral lists this ribosomal RNA (497 nucleotides) under uncultured bacterium. Its description in RNAcentral is "partial 16S ribosomal RNA". It matches the Rfam family "Bacterial small subunit ribosomal RNA", at positions 28 to 507 of the family's 1533-position model. The record is from RNAcentral.
GAUGAACGCUGGCGGCGUGCCUAAUACAUGCAAGUCGAGCGAACAGACGAGGAGCUUGCUCCUCUGACGUUAGCGGCGGACGGGUGAGUAACACGUGGAUAACCUACCUAUAAGACUGGGAUAACUUCGGGAAACCGGAGCUAAUACCGGAUAAUAUAUUGAACCGCAUGGUUCAAUAGUGAAAGACGGUUUUGCUGUCACUUAUAGAUGGAUCCGCGCCGCAUUAGCUAGUUGGUAAGGUAACGGCUUACCAAGGCAACGAUGCGUAGCCGACCGGAGAGGGUGAUCGGCCACCCUGGAACGAGGACACGGUCCAGACUCCUACGGGAGGGAGCAGUAGGGAAUCUUCCGCAAUGGGCGAAAGCCUUACGGAGCAACGCCGAGUGAGUGAGUAAGGGCUUCGGAUCGUAAAACUCUGUUAUUAGGGAAGAACAAAUGUGUAAGUAACUAUGCACGUCUUGACGGUACCUAGUCAGAAAGCCACGGCUAACUACGUG